Molecule: long non-coding RNA, 671 nt
Organism: Pseudopipra pipra
Lineage: Eukaryota; Metazoa; Chordata; Aves; Passeriformes; Pipridae
Exons: 2
Source: RefSeq, a predicted model, not a curated record
GGGUUUUUUUCCUGACUGUUCCAUAUUCCCAUGCUAAGAUUAAGACAAUGUUUCGCUUUAAGAAGGCCCUGAGGCAAUAUAUGCUUUACUUUUCCUUUGUCAUGUCAGACGUCAAACCAUGAUGUGUCCGCUUGGCAGGCAGGACUGAUGCACCUUGCAAGGUAGAGAGACUCAAUUUCUUGGGGCGACCUUCUCUUUUGAUAUUGUUGGUAUGCGAGUGGUGCUGGAGGCACAGAGUCAUUAGACCUAGAAAGGCCUAAGCCUUGUGAGUGUAAUUAUGAGCACUCCUUCUCUAGACACCUGAAUGCUGAUAUAGUGUUAUUCAAUCGGCUACAAAAAGCUUUUGAAGGGGCUCAUUCUCUAGAAGGAUAUCAGCAGAGCAUCAAGUUCCUGUGUUUGUCUGUCAUCCAGUGUGACUUCAAACGUACUUCAAUUUAAGUCCUAUUUGGUCUUUUAUAAAGCAAAUUCUUUAAUAUCUUGUUCUUCACUUAAAUCACAUUAACAAUAUACCCCUAAAAUUAUUCUCCUGAGUAGUCACAUUUUUUUAAAAAAUGACAGUUUCUCUAUAGAGAGGAAAGAGCAUUUGAAAUAAUGUUGGGUAUUUUGCCAAGUCUGUCAAAAGAGUAACACUUCCACUUUCUCAGCUCUGUCUCAUUAAAAUUGUAUUCUAA